GCACUAGAUUAAUACCUUCUGUGAUACCUGCCCAGUGGAGUAUCAAAAAUUACAUACAUAUAUAAAAAGUACAGUAAUACAUAUAUCUAAUUAAUAUAUAAAAAAAUAUUCUAAACGGCGGACUUAGCGUGAGGUUUUUAAUGUAGCAUAAUAAGUUGCCCUUUAAUUGAGGGAGAGUAUGAAUGGUAACACGAAAGUUACACUGUCUUAAAAUUAUAUAGAUUUAAAUUAAAAUAAUAGUUAAGAUGCUAUUUAAAAUUGUAAGACAAAAAGACCCUAUAGAGCUUAACUGUAAUUUAAUAAUAAAUGUUUGAUUGUCAGUUUAGUUGGGGCAACUACCAUCUACUAAGAAAGAUGUGUGAGCAAUAUUAAUAUAAUUUAAGUUUAUUAUAUAAUAUAUAUAUUUAAUAAUUGCUGAUGGCAUGCUAUAAUGACCCAUAGAUAUUAUAAAAUAAAAUCUAUGAUUAAGAAAUAAAAGCUACCUUAGGGAUAACAGAACUAUUUUCCCAAACAGUACGAAUGGACGGGGAAGUUUGUUACCUCGAUGUUGAAUUAAGGGAUCCUGGCGGGGUAGGUGUUGCCAAGGGUAGGACUGUUCGUCCUUUAAAGCCUU
This 613-nucleotide ribosomal RNA is filed under the name Gymnopraia lapislazula. RNAcentral's name for it is "partial 16S ribosomal RNA". It matches the Rfam family "Bacterial large subunit ribosomal RNA", at positions 1831 to 2597 of the family's 2925-position model. Lineage: Eukaryota; Metazoa; Cnidaria; Hydrozoa; Siphonophorae; Prayidae. The record is from RNAcentral.